Molecule: ribosomal RNA, 438 nt
Filed under: Anguispira jessica
Lineage: Eukaryota; Metazoa; Mollusca; Gastropoda; Stylommatophora; Discidae
Description: partial large subunit ribosomal RNA
Source: RNAcentral
UUAUUUAAGGUAGAUACUGCUCUAUGAUAAAUUAUAUUAAAUGGCCGCAGUAAACUGACUGUGCUAAGGUAGCAUAAUAAAUUGGCCUUUAAUUGGGGUCUGGAAUGAAUGGACAUAUAUGUAGUUUCUGUCUCAAGUUAUACUUUAUCUAAAUUUCUUAUUAGGUGCAAAUUCCUAUUAUUCAUAAGAAAGACGAGAAGACCCUUAGAAUUUUUAAAAAAAUAUAAACCUGAUUUAUACUUAUUUUUUGUUGGGGCGACAUAUUAUCAAUUAACAUAAUAUAUAAUAAUAAUAUUUACAAGUCUAGCAUAGCUUAGAAAGAAUAAAUUACCUUAGGGAUAACAGCAUAAUAUAAUAUUUAUGUUUAUGACCUCGAUGUUGGACUAGGUAUUGUAAUAACCAGAAGUUAUUAUUAAUUGUUCUGUUCGAACAUAAACA